RNAcentral lists this long non-coding RNA (511 nucleotides) under Hordeum vulgare. RNAcentral describes it as "long non-coding RNA (HVUL_LNC004368)". The record is from RNAcentral. Lineage: Eukaryota; Viridiplantae; Streptophyta; Magnoliopsida; Poales; Poaceae.
UCCUUCGCGCUGGCCGCCUCCGUCCCUCAUGUCGUCCUUGCACCGCGGGCCACCGUCCUCCUUCCUCCGUGCUGGCCGCCUCCCUCGAGGCCGAGCCGCCUCCCUCCAUCGUGCGUGUCCCUUCUCUGUCCUACCGACGCCGGCAACAUCGAGGAGAUGACGCCCGUCAAUGAGUGGACCUCGCCGGCGUGCAGCUCGGCGUCGGUUAGGAAGAGAAUGGUGCCAGGCUGGUGACAGCCUGUUGGAUCUUCCUCGCCAACAGGUGUGACCCUCUUCCCAGAUAGCCUGUUCCCACAUGUAUGUACACCUGAACUCAACGUGUUCUGUCUUGCUGUUUCUCAAGCUGAGCCGACAGAUCAGUUUGUGCUGAGAUGAUGCGCACGUACAAGUAGCAAGCUAGCAAUCAAGUGGAUGCUUCCGUGGAAGCUAUCUUUUUAUCUACGACUUGAUCGAUUGAUUUGAUCUCAGCGGAACAACACACACGAACAAAUGUGAUCUUGAUGGCUAAUAG